Molecule: ribosomal RNA, 304 nt
Filed under: uncultured bacterium
Lineage: Bacteria
Description: partial 16S ribosomal RNA
Rfam family: Bacterial small subunit ribosomal RNA
Source: RNAcentral
CAGCAGUCGCCGCGGGAAUACAGAGGGUGCGAGCGUUAAUCGGAUUUACUGGGCGUAAAGCGUGCGUAGGCGGCUUUUUAAGUCGGAUGUGAAAUCCCUGAGCUUAACUUAGGAAUUGCAUUCGAUACUGGGAAGCUAGAGUAUGGGAGAGGAUGGUAGAAUUCCAGGUGUAGCGGUGAAAUGCGUAGAGAUCUGGAGGAAUACCGAUGGCGAAGGCAGCCAUCUGGCCUAAUACUGACGCUGAGGUACGAAAGCAUGGGGAGCAAACAGGAUUAGAUACCCGCGUAGUCCCUGUCUCUUAUAA